GAGAUGAACUGACGAUUGACGAAGUUCAAGAUUAAUAACGCAAAGAAAAGUAGAAAACAGAACUAUUAAUUUACUAGUUUGGAAACGUACAACCGUGGCUGCACGAACAAUAGUAAAACAAAUCAAAUGAAAAAAAUGUGGUCGUCGUGCCAACUGCGAUUUCGUCUCUUAUCACAAACUCCAUGCUGUUUUAGCGGAUUUGAGACCUGGGCUAGCCUUCGUAACAACCUAAUAUCCAAGUUUUGCUUGUUCCAGUAUUGACCUGUCAGCAGCAACAAUCCCAGCAUCGUUGCAAGGAUAAACAGCAUCCAGUUUGAUUGGAGGACCUACCGAUGUCGGCCAAGUUAUGGAUUUCUUCUUCUCCUUUCUCUAAAUCUCUUCUGUCCUCGUGUACACCCAUGUGUGUGUGGGUGUAUUCACGAGGACCCCCUUUUCCCUAUCCCGCCUGGGAGAUUCAACUUAUCAGCGGACGGAGCACUUGUGGAUGCCUGGCCGUAUUUCCCAGGCAUAAAGGUAGGAAACAUACAUCUCCAUUCUUCCUUUUUUUUCCUAUUUGGUGGCGUUGAUUAUAAAUCGUUACGGAAUACGAUUAUUCCUGAGCUAGGCCGUUGACUGGAACUAAGUUUUCUCUUGCCGAUUUUGUCGACUCAAUUAGGGUUCAUUAAAUAACUCGUUUGUAGAACGACUACACAUUAUCAGGCCUGUUUUCGUACCUCACAACUUAUGUGUGGGUAAACAAUCCAAUCUGGAAAUAUUUUAAAUUUCAACACUCCAAGCAAAGUGCAACUUUUCAGAAAAUUCAAUUAGCCAAAAGGGACUUGCCGUCACACCCAACACCUUCUCGUAAUAACUUGAAAAAAAAAUCUG
RNAcentral lists this long non-coding RNA (867 nucleotides) under Daphnia pulex (common water flea). RNAcentral describes it as "uncharacterized LOC124200106, transcript variant X2". The record is from RNAcentral. Lineage: Eukaryota; Metazoa; Arthropoda; Branchiopoda; Diplostraca; Daphniidae.